AAUGAACGUUGGCGGCAUGGAUUAGGCAUGCAAGUCGAGCGAGAAGGAAAUCAAAGUUUACUUUGGUUUCCGGAAAGCGGCGAAAGGGAGAGUAACGCGUAGUUAUCUACCCCAAGGCCCGGAAUAGCUGCGGGAAACUGCAGGUAAUGCCGGAUAAUAUCCCCGGAUCAAAGGUGUGAUUCCGCCUUGGGAGGAGACUGCGUUGUACUAGCUUGUUGGUAGGGUAAUGGCCUACCAAGGCUACGAUGCAUAGCUGGCGUGAGAGCGUGGCCCGUCUCACGGGGACUGAAACACUGCCCAGACACAUACGGGUGGCUGCAGUCGAGAAUCUUCGGCAAUGGGCGAAAGCCUGACCGAGCGAUGCCGCGUGCGGGAUGAAGGCCCUCGGGUUGUAAACCGCUGUCGUAGGGGAGGAAGGACCGUUGAAGAGACGGUUUUGAUCUAUCCUAGGAGGAAGUCCGGGCUAAGUUCGUGCCAGCCGCCGCGGUAA
RNAcentral lists this ribosomal RNA (490 nucleotides) under uncultured bacterium. RNAcentral describes it as "partial 16S ribosomal RNA". It matches the Rfam family "Bacterial small subunit ribosomal RNA", at positions 29 to 523 of the family's 1533-position model. The record is from RNAcentral.